This 247-nucleotide ribosomal RNA is filed under the name uncultured bacterium. RNAcentral describes it as "partial 16S ribosomal RNA". It matches the Rfam family "Bacterial small subunit ribosomal RNA", at positions 524 to 771 of the family's 1533-position model. The record is from RNAcentral.
UACGUAGGUGGCAAGCGUUGUCCGGAUUUAUUGGGCGUAAGCGCGCGCAGGUGGUGCGGUAAGUCUGCCGUGAAAUCUCCCGGCUCAACUGGGAGGGGGCGGUGGAGACUGCCGGACUGGAGGGACUCAGAGGCCGGUGGAAUUCCCGGUGUAGUGGUGAAAUGCGUAGAGAUCGGGAGGAACACCAGUGGCGAAGGCGGCCGGCUGGGGGUGCCCUGACGCUGAGGCGCGAAAGCGUGGGGAGCGA